RNAcentral lists this long non-coding RNA (785 nucleotides) under Homo sapiens (human). RNAcentral describes it as "HSALNT0060918". Lineage: Eukaryota; Metazoa; Chordata; Mammalia; Primates; Hominidae. The record is from RNAcentral.
GAUGAGACCGGCUUCCACAGCACUGCAAACCCAGAAGGUGCCCUGGUCAGGACUCAGGCUCCUCGGGCCUGUUCAACAGAACCCAAAAGAGGAAUACACGCACAAGGCUCUUGCCACUGUUUAAGUACAAUUAGCCACCUAAAAAUGACAGUCAACCUCAAAAUAUGUACAAGAUACCCAAGAUGUUCCCAUCCUGGCUAGAUCUCACAGGGGUCAUGAAAGACUUGCAGAACAUUAAUUCACACCCCAGAAUUUCAACAACGGAUGGAUCAAAGUACCACAUUUCUUCACAGCAGACUCUUGAAAUGCCAGAGGUCAAAAUCAUUACGUGCUGGGACAAAAGACAGGGUGAGGGGCUGGAGUGAAAGCCUUGGCCUGGAGGAGCUGUUUACCAGGGAACCCAGGCAAGCCGUGGGCGUGGGCUGUGGCCCUGCACUUUGAUGGCUGGCUGGGUCUGGGUGGCCUGCACUCAUUCGCCUCCUGUCUCACCCCACCACCACCCAAGAUGAAGCCAUCUUUUCUGGCUCCUCCUUCUUUUUGGUAGAAAUGGUACCAGCUUGUGUGGUCUGGAGGGAAAGGACUUAAGGGUAUGAACCUCUCAGCAGCCAUGAUCCUUAUAGGACUUAGUGAGCUAUUUAGAGGUAUCUGAGGGAAUCAGAGCCUUGAGAGCCCAGUAGAGACAUCACUGUUGACUAUUCAAAAAGGCAUUAUUUAGAGCAGGGUUCACAAGCUAUGGCCUGUGGGCCAAAUCUAGCUGGCCAACUGUUUCUGUAAAUAAAGUUUUA